RNAcentral lists this transfer RNA (69 nucleotides) under Breviceps adspersus (bushveld rain frog). RNAcentral's name for it is "tRNA-Thr". It matches the Rfam family "tRNA". From Rfam's summary of the family: Transfer RNA (tRNA) molecules are approximately 80 nucleotides in length. The record is from RNAcentral. Lineage: Eukaryota; Metazoa; Chordata; Amphibia; Anura; Brevicipitidae.
GUUUCAGUAGCUUAUACAAAGCAUUGGCCUUGUAAACCAAAGAAUGUGAACUAACCCCCACCUGAAACU